This 893-nucleotide small RNA is filed under the name uncultured Mycochaetophora. Its description in RNAcentral is "eukaryotic LSU rRNA". The stretch from base 610 to 893 matches the Rfam family "Eukaryotic large subunit ribosomal RNA", at positions 1 to 281 of the family's 3401-position model. Lineage: Eukaryota; Fungi; Ascomycota; Leotiomycetes; Helotiales. The record is from RNAcentral.
CUUGGUCAUUUAGAGGAAGUAAAAGUCGUAACAAGGUUUCCGUAGGUGAACCUGCGGAAGGAUCAUUACUAGAGCAAAGGAUAGACAGCACCCGCGGAGCUCGCUCCCGGGGCUACCCUACUCCGGUAGGGUUUAGAGUCGUCGGGCCUCUCGGAGAAGCUCGGUCCUGAACUCCACCCUUGAAUAAACUACCUUUGUUGCUUUGGCGGGCCGCCUCGUGCCAGCGGCUUCGGCUGUUGAGUGCCCGCCAGAGGACCACAACUCUUGUUUUUAGUGAUGUCUGAGUACUAUAUAAUAGUUAAAACUUUCAACAACGGAUCUCUUGGUUCUGGCAUCGAUGAAGAACGCAGCGAAAUGCGAUAAGUAAUGUGAAUUGCAGAAUUCAGUGAAUCAUCGAAUCUUUGAACGCACAUUGCGCCCUCUGGUAUUCCGGGGGGCAUGCCUGUUCGAGCGUCAUUAUAACCACUCAAGCUCUCGCUUGGUAUUGGGGUUCGCGGUUUCGCGGCCCCUAAAAUCAGUGGCGGUGCCUGUCGGCUCUACGCGUAGUAAUACUCCUCGCGAUUGAGUCCGGUAGGUCUACUUGCCAGCAACCCCUAAUUUUUUUAAGGUUGACCUCGGAUCAGGUAGGGAUACCCGCUGAACUUAAGCAUAUCAAUAAGCGGAGGAAAAGAAACCAACAGGGAUUACCUCAGUAACGGCGAGUGAAGCGGUAACAGCUCAAAUUUGAAAGCUGGCUCUUUUAGGGUCCGCGUUGUAAUUUGUAGAAGAUGCUUCGGGUGUGGCCCCGGUCUAAGUUCCUUGGAACAGGACGUCAUAGAGGGUGAGAAUCCCGUAUGUGACUGGGUGCUUUCGCUCAUGUGAAGCUCUUUCGACGAGUCGAGUUGUUUGGGAAU